AUUAAGCAUAAAAUGCAUCACAGUGGUUUGGCUGAGCUGAAUUAUAGAUUAAUGGGAUAGCUGGGUUGAAGAUAAAGAUCCUUCAAGCUCAGUGACCCUCUCCUUCCACUCUGCCUAACUGCCUUACUUCAGCUAUUUGCAAAUCUGUACUGAACACUGAAUUUUGAAGCUGGUGCUGUGGAAGCAUUGGUCAGCAGCUCUGCUGCUUCUGAACCUGAUGGUAAUGGAUGGGCUAAGAAAUCUGGACACGUUCAUUGCACCGAGGGACCGUGUGCUUCUGGAGAUUUUUCCUUGUCAUAGGGAAUCCAAAAGCAGCACUCUCAAAGAAAUAAGAAGCCUGGUUUUCUGCAAAACCUGCAUUCUCAAUCUUUGCCAGGGGAAUAGAGUAUAA
This 391-nucleotide long non-coding RNA is filed under the name Numida meleagris (helmeted guineafowl). RNAcentral's name for it is "lncRNA (ENSNMEG00000019586.1)". The record is from RNAcentral. Lineage: Eukaryota; Metazoa; Chordata; Aves; Galliformes; Numididae.